CUUGGACUAACAUUUUAAAAAAAUAGCUUGGAGAAAGAUUAAGAAAUUGGGAGUAAAAUUAGAAAAUGGGGAAGAAUAACAUCAAAGAUUCACUUUGAGUCUCUGAUAUGCAACUAACUACAGGCAAGUGGCAAAAAUGUACCAAGGACACAAAACACGCCAAAGUAUUCACAUUAAUGAAUCGUUUUGAAGGCUCAUCUAGUAACAAAUUAGAGUGUUUCUGAGUCAUUUAGGCAUAACCAAUUUAGCAGUUGACGUUUUAAAACUAUCAUGUGCACAUCACCACAUUAUGCAAAAAACCAGCCCUUUCAAAACGUGUGGUAGAAAAAUUCACAGUAACAGAAAUAUUCUUCAUGAGCAGUUGAGAAGGGGCAGUGUGGAGCAUCUAAGUUGUACAAUACAAAAACCAUUGUAAGUAACAGAGCUGUAAAACAGAUGCAAGUUCUAAAAACAGUGCUUUCUUUACAGUUCUUUUAAUGGGUGAACACUUUGGCCAGAGAACUUUAAACUCUGAGGAUCACACAAGCCUUUGCUUAAGAUACACAAUUAGAUCCUCUAAUGUUUCAAAGGCCAUUUGCUACAAGAUUAACCUGUUUGUUCUACUUUCUAGAAGUGUUCCCAUCAAGAAGUCAUUAUGAAGGGAUCCAUCUGAUGACACUAUCCCACAAAACAUUACAUGUUCAACCAUUGCUAAUGACAGAGGUAGAGAAAAUUCUGUCUUCUGUCACAGCUUGUACCCUCAUUUUUAGCAUUGCGUUGAGUGGGUUCCAGCAGUGAAGACACAUGCACUUUCCUUUCCACCAGCUUGCUCAUGGAAACAAAUUUGUUCCAGCAUGCUCUUGUAGUCUGAAAACAUCCAGCAGCUGCUCCAGUCGGUCAAAGUCAGAUGUCAGCUUUCUUGCUUUGCUGCCUCCCCUUGGGCCUCCCCAGUUUGCUCACUUGGAUUUCGUUGUGCAUCUCCUUCUCCUUCUGCUUUAUUUAUAUCCAGCUCUGAUAGCUUUAAGGCUAGUUCACUAGAGUUCCCACCCGGAGAAGACACAAGUAUGUCGUGUAGUGCAUUUCUUCUACCUGUUCUUCCUGAAGCAAUAAAGUCUGCAUAUGUAGAUUCCACAUCAGUCAUUGCUAACAAAUAUCCACAUAGCAGUACCUUCCCAGCAGCCGGCUCAGCGCAUCUUCCUUCCUCCCGCCCUUCUUCCCCUCCCAGAGCCGCGGGCCCGUCGGCGCCGUGCCCAACGCUGCGCUUGCCUCAACCAGCAGCAGCUCCCACGAACGCUUCACCCCCACAUCGCGCCGGCAGCUGCUGCUCCUAAAUUCACGGCGCUCCGGCGGCAUGAAGUCAUUCUCCCCGCCCCCUCCACGGGCCGCCACACUCCGCUCCCGCCGCGGAGGGGGAGGCCGCCCCCCCCGGUUCUGCCGCCCGCGCCCCGCGGGUCCCUCCCGCUCUCUCCCACCCGAGGGCCGGCGCUCUCGCAGCGCUGCGAGCGCCGCAAUGUCCGGCGGCACGCGGGAGGGCGGCACGUUCCCCCACACCGACGACGGGCUGUGGUCGGGGGUCCCACCCCGGGCCCGGCGCGCGAUGGGCCGCUCCGCCCCGCUCCUGCCCGCCCCUCGCGGGAGUCCCUCAGCGCGUUGCGGGGCGCUCCCGCUCCGAGCGCGGCCCCCGCGCUCCUCCCCGCGGCUCGGCCGCGCCGUACCAGCGAAGCGCGGGGUCCCGGAGCCGAGGGGCGGCCUCCCGCGGGGAGAGCGGUGCUGUGCGCUCGUGUGUCUGUUCGGAAGGAAAUCCCGUUGUAAUUCGUGCCUGCGUGUGGGCGCCCGGCUCCCCCCGCUCCUCCCGCCGCCUCGGGGCGCGCAGGCGCCGCGCGGCUGUGCCCCCAAAUGCGGCUGUGUGGGACGGAGGGGUUCUGUGUCGGGGGCUCCCGCUCUCUGCCUGUGGGGGAAGAAGGGCAGCGCAUCAGGGUCACCGGGAUGCGCGGGUACCGUAGCUGGCGUGUACUGAUAUUUUUAAGAGCCGCCAGUGGGCGACGAGGCUGUUUUUGUUAUUUAUAGAGCGCUGUGCGUGUCCUGGGUGACCGACCCGUUGGUGAGGAAAGCUGGAUUCCUGUCACAGCCCGCUCCCGUGUACAGGAUGAGCGCAGUUGUGUUGCUGCACAAAUAACAGAGGGCAGCCCGGGCCGGGCGAGUGGCCAAGUCACCCUGAUCCCAGAGCAAUUCGUGUUCCGUAAGCAAAGCCGAUGUGGAGAAAUUGUGAUGGGACAGCUCCCAGGAACGCGACGCUUUGAGCACAGGUGUCCCCAGGGCACUUUGUUCUGUGGAGCGGGUAUGGGGCGGGAGGUUGGGACGAGUUGGGAACACCGCAGGUUUCGUGGUGGUGAAGUCUGCAGUGGGAGCAGAGCUCCUGAAGGAGUUGCUUCAGUGGCCUGGGACUGCUGGGAAGGUCCUCUAUAGUGGCCGAGGAAAGCAGGGAAGGGGAGAAGAGCCCCACUAAGGUAAGGACGUUCAUCUCUGUCUCUCAGGUGAAGCAGAAGAACUAAGAGCCUGAGUUCCCCUUCAGAAAUUCCUUGUGUCUAUUUUUAUCACGGUUAUGGAAAGGCUUCAAACUGUGCCAUUAUCUUUAAUUUGAUUCCCCGUGCCUGUGCAGUUGCACAGUCGCACUAAUUUGGAGCUGCUCCUGUUUACUCCCUGCCUUACUAUUACAUUGAUUGCUGUGGCAAAUCUGAGUGUGCUGAGCUGGCUGCAUAUCAACACCGAUGCUUAAUCUCUGUUUACAAUUUGUUGGGUUAUGUGAUUAAGCUCAUCAGGCAUGCAGAGGAGCCUAGGGGCGUGUGGGCAGGCAGGGCUGUCCCAGGGGGAAUGCCUAGCCCCACAGGCGAGCCUUAGGCUCUCUGGGUCACCCCACAGGCUGGUGGUUUUACUGCCUGGGGGUGUAGAAUGUGAUACGGGAUGUGUCAUAGGAAGAGCAUUUGGGGAUUGUACAAAGUUUGUUGUGGGGUGUUUGGAGCCAGAGAGCAGGGCAGGAUUACACUGUUCGUGCCAUCUCUCUUUGCAUGAGUGUUUGUGUCUCUAUUAUCUAUGAGACUGGCCAUGUGUGUAUUUAUAUUUAGUUGUGUAUACAUACAAAGCAUUUGUUUUUGCCAGUACAUGCUCAUACUUGCUACUGGCUGGACCUCAGAACGUGGAGGCAUGGCAGCAUUGCUUCUGUUGGGCUGUGGGAUUCAGCAAGUAAUUCCCUAAAUGAUUGAUGUUCUAGGAUCACUAUUUCUCUGGUAUCACUGCAUCACAGAGUCAAGUUUCAGUGCUCCUGACCCAAGGACAUUAAUUAAUACUUUUCCACAUUGUUACAAGAAAAGAGGAAGCAUAUAGAGCAAACACCUACAGAAUUUGAGUUACUGAAAAAGUAUAUUGGUGUCCAUCUAUUAGCGAUACUGGGAGAGCUUUUGCUAAGAGAGUAUAAUAAUAGAUUUACUGAUCAUGGGCUCAAAGUAAGUGAAAAUACAAAUCUAUAAAUGGUCAGAAACUAAGCAUUUCAACUUUAAAAGGAUGGUCUGCAGGAAAGGAAAGAAGAAACUAGUUUGUGAAAUUAGUUGAAAAGCUCAAUGUGGGCAGAGAUUGGAUUUAUUUAUUUUUUUAUUUAAGAAGAACAAUGAUAAUGAAUAACUCCAGACAACUGCAAAGAGAAUGACUUCAAACAAGAUGUUAGUGGUAGGUUUUCAACCAACAAGUGAAGAGAAAUUUGUGGCUUAGAGGUUAGGAAUAGCAAGGGCAAUGUGAGAUUUGCCAGCAUUCAAAUUGAAUUAGAUUGUUAAAAUAAUGUCUGAAAUAAAUAGCAAAAUGUUAAUCGGUUGCUUAAAGAAAAGAAAGAAAGAAAAAUCCUGAAAUAAGGGAAUUGAGCUCUUUUUCAUUGCGGAUGGGGUGAAAAAUCUAGGCUUUGCUCCUCAAAAGGAGCGUUUUGCUUUCUUGAUAAUUGCAGGUGAAACAAAGGGUGGUUGGAGCAAAGGGUAUGUAUGGGAAUGUGUAAAAAUAAAUGUUACUGUUUUCACAAUGAAAAUAAAAUCAGAAGAAUGUGUUCAAAUCAGAGGAGUAAAUUUCUGUCUAAGUGUAUUUAAAAAGUAGGAUAUAAAGUCACAAGACUUUUAUAAAAAUCAGUUGUGGUGCCUUACUCCUAAAGAAUUUUAGAUAUUUAAGAUAUGAGAAGAAAAAACACCUAAGGAGUUUGGUGUUAGCCAAGCCAGUUGUUGGCAGUAUUGAACACUGAAAUUUGGGGAUGUUUUGGCUAUGGAAGCCAUUUUGACAAACUGCAGAGUAUAAGGAAAGAGGUAAGGUAGAUAAAGUGUACUCACAGGACACUAGGACUGCGAGAGGUGGCAAAAAGUUGUCUGUCAAGGUAAGAUGAAAUUUUAGAGAAAAGUCAGUGGUAACAUUUCAAAAAAGAGUACUCUUGUGCUUUAUUAGUAUUUUCAGCAGUGAUCUUGGCAAGUAAGUACAAAUGAAUUAAAAGAAACCUUAUCAAUGCAGAGGAAGUAAUCACCAACAAAGUAUGUAUCAAACAGUGAUGUAUAUCUACAAUAUUUUUCAAACCAUCUGGGAGGGAAUAAUUGUUUAUGUAAAUUCUGCUUGAAUUACUUUAACUCAAUCAAAAUCUUAAAAAGAAAACAAGUCAUCCUGCAGCACAGGUUAGUUUCUAACCUUCAGCAAAAGGCAACUUAAAGUAAAACAGUCUGGCUCUAAACAGAUAGAAUAACCAGAGUUUGCAGACUGCAUCUGCCACCGUUUCUCAGUAAUCUCCUCUUCUUGCUGGCUGCAUACCUUCUUCAACUAGGAUAGUCACAUUUUCAAGGCAGAGACCACGAGUGUUUCAGUUUGUACAACAUUGUUAGGUAUUUGCCAAAUGCACUGAUGAUUAUUUAUGCUGCUUGUGCUUCUAAUGUGAUGGCUUGACUAUGCACAAGACCCAGUUCUUCCUUAAGUUACAAGUUGUUUCAGCUGAAAGCAAUGGAAGUUGUGCCUGCACAGGGGUAAAGGCUGGUCCUUAACCUCUUGAGGUCAGUAGGAACAGAUGUGUUCUCCUAUUUUCUUCUCUUGGGGCUUCAAGCAUUUUCUUGAGUACAUAGGAGUCUGAUUUUCUUAACACUUUAAUAGCAAUGCUGCUCUGAUUUUUCUCAUCUUCCACCAUUAAUUUCAUUGUUUGAUUAUACAUUUUCUAAACUUCAUAGGAAUGAUAGUCUCAUACUAGCAUUUCCUACGCUUAAACAUACAUUACUUACAUUGUAAUAUUUUGUGGGAAAAAUUUCCAAAUGAAAAAAACUGCUUGUAAUGAUAUAAUGCUGUUAUAAUGUAUAUGCUAUAUGAGGAGAAAUUAAGGUACUAACAUUCUCAAUUCUGGAUUUUCUGUAGUGUUUUUCCAGUGCUUGACUAAUUAAGCUUGGCUUUUCUGCAUAUUUAGAUGUAGUGUGUGGAAUCUGUUGUUUUUAGGGAAGAAAAAUAGACUGUCGUGAUAAUUUGGAUACCAGCAUAGGUUUUCAGCACAUUUAUUUAUUUAUGUGAAUGGAUAUGUGAAAUGUAGUGCUUAUUCCACGACUAUUUGUCAACAAUGGAAGAGCAAAAAUUGGAGAUCUCAACACAGAUUUUUCAAGUCGUCUUCUAAUUCAAUCUUUUCAUCCUCCUCAAUCUUCCAACCAAAAGUUCGACCUUCAGGUUUCUCAUUCCAGUCCCCACAGAUGUUAGUCACCAGGAAUCUUCAUCUCAGUCUCCUAGCCUCGUAAGCAUUGCUUUCUUUUUGCAGUGUUGUUUUUCAGAUUCUCCCAUUCAUUGCCAGACCCUCUGGUAAAUUAUAUCCCAUUUUACUCUUUACUUAGAUUUUUCUUUCUUUUCAUCUUGCUACUUCCAUUUUCUUUUUUCCUCUUGAAUUCCAUUUUGCCUUCCUUCCCCUUCAUCUCUUUCAUAAUGUAAUUUGUUCUUUGUUUAAAAUAGCCCCUCUGCAGAUCAUGGGAUUUUCAACUUGCAAAUAAUUUAUGGCAGAACAAAGAUAUUAGAGGCUCUGUAGUUACGUCUUUGCUGCUGCUUCAUGUCUUCCCUACUACCAAGUAUCACUUUGGCUCAUCACCAUAUCUCUUCAUCCCUUUCUGAAAAGCCUGAGCCAAUGUACUCCUCUUUUUAACAGAAGCCUUUUCUAGCUCAUGUCUCCUCUGCAUAUGAAUUCUGCAUCUUCUUUUUCCAUGCAGUCUAGCUCCAGAUAAAGUUAACAGUCAGAGAGCAAAAUUGGUGAAAUCUUUAGGUUUCCAGAACAGCUGCCUGGGUAAGUAGCUAAUGGGAAGUUGUACUGACUUGGCUUUGGGGUGUGCUUUGUGAAAGUGGCAUCUUAGGAGUGGUUUUUGCAAAAACUCUCUGGUUCUCUAAGAGCAUGUGUAGUUUUCAGACUUUUAAGGAUUUGAAUAUGUUUGAAUCGAAUCGGGUGUGCUAAGUUCCUCAUUCAAAGCAUGUGGACUAAUGAAUGGUCAUUAGAUUUCUUUUUAUUCUGGUGGGAUUUACCUUGACAAUUUCUGAGGAGGAAAAAAAAAAAAGAAAAAAGAAAAGCCUUUUCUUACUGACAUUACACUAAAUUCUGAAGCUGGUACAGUGCUGAAAUUUGUAUGUCAAAUGAUUAAAAUAUGUGAGAUUGUAGUGAAGAGAAUGUAAUCCAAAGUAGCGAGUAACUCUUAUAACGGAUAGGCUCUUCUCUCUAAAUAUGUGUGCAGUGGUUGCAAUUUCAUUUCCAGUUCGAUUCUUUUCUCUCUUACAUGCUGAUCCUCCCAGGAGUUCAGCCUGCAGUGAUAUUUAGGAUACAGCCUUUAUUUCUUUCACUGCCCUGCUACAAAUUUAAAACUAUGUAAAGUCUUAAUCCUUACUUUUUCCCACAUUCCUUCCUUUACACCUGUUUGUAUUGGUGAUCUGAGGAACCUCUUUAAGAGUGAAGUUAGUGAGUGCAGAAGCUUAUUGCUAUGUUUGAUCCUUAGCAGAACUUGGUCCAAAAGAACGUACUCUCCACUCUUCAAUUUGCAGUGCUGCUGAGAGAAUCCUACAACAUACUAAAGACCUUUAAUAAUUAAAAAUUACUACAGCAUCUAAAGUGCCUAACAGGGAGGAAAGGAACAAAGACCAUGACAGCUGCCAAACAGCAGAAGUGUGCCAGAGUGUUCCUGUGUACUCUAGAUUAUCAUUAACUGACAAAACUGUUGAAAUCAGCCAAGAAAUGAGAGGACCCCAUCAGUUUGACCAGAAAGUGCAACCAUUUCUGACUCUAAGUCUAGCACAUUCUAUGACCUGGGUAUUAGGCAGAUUUCUCAGUCACAUGCCAGCACCUCUAAAACUUUGGCUACGGCUAUUUCUAAAAUUGACAAAGGCAUGUUUUGACUGCAUGUGUUAGCUUUGCCUCUUGUUUUGCUUUCUGUAUUCCUUUCUGUUCAGCUUGUUUGGGCAACAAAACUCAGAGUUCAAAGGGAAAAAAAAAAGAAAUUUCAAUUUUGUAUGGUAUCUAAUCUCAGUUUUGGAAGUAACAUAAGCUUUUUGAUUUUUGUUUGUUUGUUUGUUUUGGUAGAUUUUCAGUUGCUGGUGGGUAGGUGGUAGUUAAACAUACACAUUUUUCCUGGUUUUCAACACACUUGCAAUUCUUGAUUGUUUCCUUAAGUGCCAGCUGCUGAAACUUUGGUCUAGGUGCAUACUCCUGCCUUUUCUACAGAAGUGUAGUUCUUCAGGACUGUAUUGCAGUCAAGAUAAUAAUUGGACUGUUGAUGUUUGAGGUGGUUGAUACUCAUCCUUAGGAAUUUCUUUUACAUCAGUUAAGACAUUUGUCAUUUUCCAAGGAACCUUCUAAUUGCUGUACAGAUGCUUGUAUUUCAGUUUUUUCUGCUUCAACAGGAAAAAAAGCAAUUGUGCUACCAGUAAGUAAGGCUGGUCAGUGAUUUUAAUUAACUCACUUGGAGUGUUGCAACUUUUUGCUUAAAAAUAAUAAUUUCUCAGAUCAAGUGCUUUAGUGAUUGUGUAUCAAUGCCAGUGAAUCUUUUCCUCUCAGACAGUUUUAUAACAAGUAAAUAGCUUGUGAUUAUUUUGUUCCAGUUCUGUGGUUUCAUUUCUGAAUGUGUAUUGGAAAAUUCUGUAACCGUUCCUUGUGCCUGUCUAUUCAGAAACUCAAGAUGUCUAUAGGAAUCCCACUUUAAAUUUAAUCUUCUGUUGUGACUGAGAAUUUCUUUGAGUCUAUUUAUGUUCCUAGACCAAAAUGUGUCAGUCAACACAAGAAAACAGUAGCCCUUUGGAGAUGACUCUGUCAACAAGAUGUAAAUAAGUUGUUUGUUGUGCAGGAUGAGAAGAAAAAGAAAAAUGGAAAAGUAGUUCAAAUUCCAGAAAGAGAUAAAUGGAAUAUACAGCGUUCACAAAAUCCUCCUGCAAAUGCUUUUUGCAGUCAAAAAGGGCAGAUUAACAGAGAUGAAUUUGCAAGGCAUUUAGUUGCUGUUUGAAUGAGCUCAGAUGUUACAAAUGAGAGAAUCACAGAAUGCUUUGGGUUGAAAGGAACCAUUAGGACGAUCUAGUUCCAACCCUCUGCUAAUAGACAAGGGCACCUUCCUCCAGACCAGGUUGCUCAAAGCCCCAUCCAGCCUGACCUUGAAUGCUUUCAGGGAGGGAGCAUUUACAAGCCCACUGGGCAACCUGUUCCAGUGCCUCACCACCCUCACAAUAAAGAAUUUCUGCCUAAUAUCUUGUCUAAAUCUACCCUCUUCCAAUUUAAAACCAUUUCCCUUUGUCUUGUUGCUAGAAUAUAGAAUAAAACUAUACAAUACCUUGAACAUCAAUAUUUUAUAAUGUAUGGAGUUUCACUGUAAUUGUGUAGGUAGGAACACUUAACAAAUAAAGCUAUACAUGAGUCUUGAAAAUCCACACUGGCAUUACCUUCCGGAGGGAGUAUCAACUUGACAAUGGAGCAGCAGGGCAUGCAGCAUUUUCAGCCAGCCUAUGGGCAGCCUAUGCUGAUUAUCUCAAGGCAGUAAGAGUAUUUAAGUGGGUAAGUGGCUGGACUUGUAACUUAUAAUUUGUAGGCCAAAUGUAUCUGACCUCUAGUUUUGCAAACUCCAGAUCUCUGAAGCUGAUUCCAGAAGCUACAGUUUCAUUCACUUCAGCUUUAUAAGGAAUUUUUCACCUGUCUUUGCAUAGAAUAUGAACAGUGCACAAAAUCCAGACUACUUCCCUUUUGAGACUGGAAUUUUAUUAGAAAUGUCAACAAAAUAUGGGAUUUGAAUUACCACAGCAUGAAAAAUCUUUGAUCCUAGACCAGGAUGUAAUUAGGGUAGGCCUAUUUCAAAGCUAGGCACAAAAAUGUUACAUCGGACACAGAACAAGGAAUUUCCCUGUGUAACUUGUGGUCAAAGGAUUAAGAUGCUGGAUAGUAUAAUACAGUUGGAUAAAUACAGGCAAGAAUCAUGAAACAAGAGCAGCUUAAGUACUCAUUUUUUUAAAAGCAUCAUAAAAACAAGGGGAAUAGGAACUAGUAAUGAGAUAUCAGCAUGGGAUGCAAUGUGUCUCAUCUCUGGCCUAGAAGCUUUCAUGUGAAAACAAAACAAACAAAAAGACUGUGAUAGCAGGAGUGAGAGCAGACCUCAUAGUGAUGACAUGACUGAGAUGCAGUGUUUAAUGAAGAUCAUUCUAAAACUGGAUGAAGCAAAUUGAUGCAAAUAAAGGUGUGUGUAUAUAUAUAUAAUAUAUAAGAUAUAUAUUAUCGAGCAGAAGCACAGUCUUUUCUAUUUUUUUUUUCCUAAAAAAUCUGUGGUUUCUUAAAACUUAGAGCUAAUAGCAAUAAUGCCUUUAAUUUUUUACCCUUUUCUAUAUUUUGAGUUUUGAGAGAUUUGGCAGAUAUAUUGCCAAUGUAUAGCAUGGCUUUUCAGCUGAAGGUUGUCAUUAGAUCAGGAUUAGACCCUCAGUUUUUAUGCUUAGGUUAUUUUGAAUGUCUCUAAGGCACUUCGGGUUACUAUUUUCUAUUUAAAUAAUUAUAAAACAUAUUCUAAAUUGAAAGUGUGCUCAAAGUGGGACAUAUCUUUGUAGCAUGGGCUUUUUGCGGUAUUUUGUUUUGAAAUGUCAAAUUUAUCAGAAGUGUGAAAUUGAAGACAAUCAUUUCAAGAACAGCAACAUUCCUUUACCUUGUAAGCAUUUAAUGGAAGUUACCUGUAAAUAUUUUUUACAGAUCAUGUCCUUUCAUUGAUUUUGCAGCUACAGCAAUCUUUAUUAGGGUACCUAGUUGAUUGUGCUUUUAAUUCUAAAAGAGAAAAUCUCGUAGACCAAGAGAGUUGUGAUUAUUAUUGCAAUAUUCACUGAAAACUCUGUUGGGCUGACCUUGAUAUAAUAUAAAAAACUUGGAGUAGGCAAUGUGUUUAAUAAAUCUAUGGAACCAAAUCUCUGUAUUUCAUACAAUACUAUGCAAUAAAAAAUACACAUAUUCAUGAUGUGAGAUAAAACGUGCACGAGAAAAUAAAGUAACCCUGCUAAUCUUUAGUAGUGAGAAAGAUUGUGGGGUUUUUUUUGUUGCUGUUCUCUGAAGAAUGGACCCCAUAGUGUCCUCAAUGUACGUAUACAUGGCAAUAAAGCUCAGAUUUGAGUCACUUAAAUUUUGCCCUACUAUGACUCUCAGUCUCUCAAUUUUGCUUAAGCCCGACGUGGAAUAGCUCUCUGGAACCAACUUCUUUUUGACUAUCCUUAGAAUUUCUUGUGUACCUAAAAUUAGGCCCAGAAAAAGUGAGGAGCAACCCUCACUGAGAAUAGAGAGGCUUGGCCUUUGCUGAAGCCCUGUUCAUUUUAGAAUCUGUAUUUGUUUGCUGAAGUCUUAUAGUAACUGUCCUGCAGCCUGGACAGCAGCUAACUGAUGCUUACAGCUCUGGCAUCAUUAAAAAGCACGUCGUAACAGUCCUGUCGUGCAGCUAUAUAAUAUGGUAAGUGUAUAUAUGUUGUGCGCAUUGUUGUGUAUAUAUAUAUAUAUAUAUAUAUUUAUCUCAUAGUCUGAAUCAUCACUGCACAGAGGGACAGAAGAAAGAAAGAAGGAAGCUUGAAAUUUUGCUUUCCAAAUGGAGACUAGGAGCGCAUUGAAGGCAAAUAAGCAAUAUCAAAUGAGAAGUCUAUGACAAAGCUGGAAAUUGUACUGACAAUUUUGAGUGCCUUAAGCACUCUAUUUUCCAUUAAGUGCAUUAUUUUUUCCCUCCACUCCAGUGCUUAUCGGAAGAUAACUUUUGUUCUUCAGCCUAAAUUCGCGUUACUGUUUAAAUUUGAGCUUUUCAACAGCUGCUGUUUUUGCAGCAAUGAAAGACAAUAUUGUGGAGCAGAUCUUAAUUUCCAGAUGGAAAGCAGUUAUCAAAAAAAAUUAUUGUAUGUUUUUUCCUUAUGAUCACAAAGGUGUUCAAAGAGCAUUCUAAGAGAGAGAUCACAGCUUUGGGAGGUGGUUUUUAUAGAAUAAGCUCAUAAUGUAUUGGACCAAUCAUCUUGUUUCCUAUAGAAUUCUCAAAAAGAGAGCAGAAUUAUAAACUGUAUUUCUUCUACUGAAAAACAAUUUUGUUUCCUGCAAUCACUUCUUUUAGUAUAUGAUAAAAUAGCAGAAGAGAUUUAUGUCUACUUUAAGGUGAAUGCAAGCAAUCCUGAUCACAUGGCACAUUGUUUCAUUUUACUCACGUUGUUAUUCCAUUAUGUACAUAAUGCUUUAAUUUUAGUCAGUAAAUAUUAAGAAUUAUAUAAGUGUUUUGUUUUCUGCCAUGUAAUGAACCUGUACUAAGACCUAGCAUGAUUGUGCUGUCUCAAGGAACAGCAAAUCAGAAGAAAGCUCCUCUCUUUAUCUUUUUACUCUUCCAAGUAGUUGUCUUUCCUAUUGAAGUUUCUUCUGUACUUUGAAGAUUUUUUUGAACGAAUGCAUCACUUCAGUAUUAGCAUAGAUAUUUAGUCUGUCAAAGGGAGUGGAUACAAGUCCAGAUCAAUCUUUGUUUCUUUUUAAAGGUAACUGUAUUCACAUUCUUUCUUUUGUUUUAAAGGGGCUCAGCCACUAAGGGUUUGGAAUCUGCUGGAAAUUUGCUCCAGCUUCCCAAUGCUAGGUAGGUAUAAUAGUUGAGUUUGAUUUUGAAGUUUUUGCUGAGGUUUUCUCAAAGACCCACACAAGUAAGAUAAGAACAGGCCGACAAAUUAUUUAUGUUUGCCUGUCCCUGUCAAGUCUUUAUUGACUCUUAACUAUUCCAGUUCUAAAUUGAACGCAGCCUCAGGGAAGGAAACAUUUAUAUAAGAGGAUUGUGGUGGAAGGAUUUUUCUAUUGAUCCUGCAUACAAAAAAAGGGCCUUAGGAACCAGAAUGCUUUUAACUAAUUAUAUGUGACAAUUCUUUCCCUUGAAGAAGAGAUGUUUAUCCAAAAUCAAACCUACAAGUUACCAAUGUCUUUACAGUAUUCCCUCUUCUCUUUGACAGACAAUGCAUCAAGUUAAAAAAAAAAAUAAAAUAGGCCUGAUAGAAUUCAUGUUAUGCAAUGUUUGUGUUCGUGUAUAUGUGAAUAAAUUGGAACCUCUGUGUAGGGAUCACUUCCUGAGCAUGUUAAUGCUGUGUAGCCAGGUUUGUUUAGUUCUAUUUCUCUAUUUACCAUUCAGAGAAAUAAUGCUUUGGGAAGUGUUUUUACUUGGCUUCACGGGAAAGUCUUGACCCUAUUUUAUGAUACCAGUAGCAAGUAAUAAGGGACUCGAACACUGGUAUUUUAAAGCUGUUUUGCAUUGUGUCUUUCACACUGUGAAAGUUUUUUGUCUUUCAUGCUUUGAAAGUGUACUUCCAGUGACUCCUGUAAUUUCAAAUGGUGAUUUGAAGCAAUAAGAUAUAGAAUCAUAAAAUCAUUUGAGUUCUAAAAUACCUUUAAAGGUCAACUAGUUCAACUCCUCUGCAAUGAUCAGGGACACCUGCAGCUAGAUUGGGUUGCUCAGAGCCUGGUCCAGCCUGACCUUGAAUGUCUACAGGGAUGGGUCAUCCACUACCUCUCUGGGCAAUCUGUUCUGAUGCCUCUCUACUCUUAUGGUAAAAAACUUUUUCCUUAUAUCCAAUCUAAAUCUCUCCUCAUUCAGUUUGAAACCAUUUCCCUUUGUCCUAUCCCCCCUUUUUUUUUUUCUUACAGCCCCCUUGUAGUUACUGAAGGGCUGCUCUCAGGUCUCCCUGGACCCUUCUCUUCUCCAGGUUGAACAGUCCCAGCUCUCUCAGCCUGUCUUUGUAGGAGAGGACAUUGGAUUAUUGCUGUGGCCCUCCUCUGGACAUGCUCCAACAGGUCCAUGUCACUCCUGUACUGAGGACUCCACUCCAGAUGAGACCUCACUGCACUUAAGUGAUACAGGGGCAGGAUCACCUCCCUUGCCCUGGUGACCAUGCUUCUUUUGAUGCAGUCCGGGAUAUGGCUGGCUUUCUGGGCUGCAGGGGCAUGCUGCUGGUUCAUGUCCUCCUUGCCAUUCACUAUUACCCCUAAGUCCUUUUGGCAAGGCUUUGCUCUAUCCUUAUGUCCUCCAGCUUGUAUUUACAGUGUGGGUUUCCACAACUCAGGUGCAAGGCCUUACACUUGGAAGUUGAAAACCUCUUGUUCUAUGCUAGGUAGCUGCUGUAUGUGUCUAUUCAAAUCUACAUCAUGUGAAAGAACAUCAUGAAAAAAAUAAGGCAAGUGUUAGUUAGAAAAGCUACUGAAAAUCAUCUAGUUAACUGUAAAAACUUGAAAAUAUAGCUGGUGUACUUAAUCACACAGAAGCUAAGUUUAUCGCUUAUUCAGCAUUCUUUUUCUGUAACAAUGCCAUGGAAAAACAAUGGCAUGUUUUUUUCUCUUAAAAUGGACUGGGCAGCUCUAUUUUUCUCCUCCCUUGUUUGAUUUACAAUAUACAUGUUGUCUGAACACUUUGCAUGAAUAUUUUCUACAGUGUAGGCAUUGUCUCUGUCUUGAAUGCUGUAGGUCCAGUGCCUUACCAUUCUGAAGGUUUCACUUGCAUCAGUGUCUGUGUUGUAUUGCUAGAUUUUGUGCAUAAACUGAAUGAAAAGGAUCAAAAUAAUCAGGAAGGACAGACCCUGCUUUCUAGUAGCAGCAUGCACUCUCUAUCUGUAUUUUGUCCAAACACUUUGUUCUGGGACAUCUAGUAGAGUAAGAAGAACUGAAUUAGAAGUUUGCACCAAUAAUAUGUCUAACUGACAGUGUAAAAGAGAGUACAAUAAGCAGCCAACAAUAGAGAAAAUUUUGGAGGUAUAACAGUGAUAUCUGGGACAUUUCUCCACCUUGAACAUACUUUGAUUCCUAUAGGCAUGUCAUAUGGCAAAAAGGUAUAUAUGAGCUUUUUAAAAGUAAGUUUAAAAACUGAAACAAUAAGCAUAAAACUGAAGCUUUUUGAAGUAUGUGAAAAAGCUAGAUAGAAAAAUAGGAUAGGACUGACCUAAUGAUGCAAGAAUGCUGGGGGAUUUGUAAAAGAUCAGGUUGUGACUUGUCCCAGAUUCCAAAUGCACAGAGCUAACUUUUGUUGAAGUAAUUAAAAUUUGCCAAGCAAAUGAAGUUUGUCAGCCCACAUGAAAACUUACUGAGGAAAGAUACGUUCUUGGCUAGCAUGAACUACUUUUCUGUAUUGAAAAAAAAUACAGACGAGAAUCCAAAGGAAAAAGGAGAAGCAAAGCUCAGAUUUGGAGUCCAUGAAAGUCCUGUUGCCCAAAUCACACCAAAUAAUAUCAGGCAACAAUGAUGUCUGGAAAUCAAUAGCACAAAUAAAAAGGAUUGCAUCAACUGUAAGAGUUGGCAUAAGUUGUAUACCAUAGACAAAAGAGAAUCUUACAGCUCAGAAGAUAUUUUGUGAGAAAUCGGACCAGAGCAGCAAAAGACAAUUGGAAAACUGGUUUAAAAAUAAACAAUAUUUGAUUAAUGUAUCUGUGUUGCUAAAAAAAGCCCAUUUGCCUCAGAAAGAUAUAGUGUAGCUUAUAAAGGAAAUAUAUAGAUUAACUAUAAUAUCCAGAACGUUAGGAGAAAUAGUGAUGAAGGAGCUCUGAAUAGGGAGAAAUAGAAAGUUCCAAAAUAUAGCAACUUCUUUUAGGUCUCAUUAACAGGACAUGCUUCUUAGUAGGUUAAAUAAAGACAGCAUAGAGAUAGGCUACCUGCUGCUUAAUAACAAUUGCCCCUAUAGAAAAUUUACUGAGUUAUUGUAGGAAGUAGUAUUCGCUAGCCCAGUAAAACAAAAACCUGAAAUACUAUAUACUUUAUUUUUGUACUAAGUGAAGGUUUCUAACAAAGUGAAAUUUUAGCAGUUCUAUCACAAAAUGUCUUUAUGAUGUGUUAGGCAUAUUUUGAUAUGCCUUUUUAUAACCGUUUUCUUUGACUAAGCUCUUAAAAUACUGAUAUUCUGAUGUGAUUCAUCAAUCCAUUUGUAAACUGAACUCCCUAGUUAUAUAACUUACACUAUGUUUUAUAAUCCUUAAACUGUUUAGCUAGAAUCUCAAAGCCAAUGGUUACUAAUUGAUUAUAAUUUUUGCAAAAGGAACAGUAUUGUUGACAUGUUGUGAAAAUGCUUUUUGUAUAGAGUAUAUCUGAUGGAAUGCACCCAUUCCUUAACUUAUACUCUUAUGAAGGUUUCCCUCUUUAUAAUUCAAAAUAUAAUGGCUAGAUAUAAUACUCUGCCUCCUUUGGUAUUCAAAUAAAGAAUAAAAAUCUUGAAAAAAAUUAUUACACUCACUAGAUGAUGCCAGCAACCAAGCUUAUAAACUCAUAAGUGCUUGACGUGAUCCUGAGCCCAUAGUGACAUUUUAAGUUCUCUGUAUAAUCAGCAACUCUGUUGAAAAGUGAAAGCCUGGAGAUCCCUACGCAGGAAUAUGGAAGCAUAUGGAAUUAUAUUUGUAUAAUUCUCUUGAAGACUGAAAAGUAUAACCUGCAUAGACUUUCUGAACUGAUGUCACAUUAAAAGUGGUACCAAAGCAGCUGUUAAGAGCUGAUGCAGUUGCCAAAAACAGUGGCAAAGUUGGAAGGUGAUACUGAUGGUGCCUUGGGAAAGAGAGAAAGAUAGGGAUCAUCCUGGUUGGUUUAUAUUGACUGAAAGCAGCAAUGUACUUGUCUUUUAUGGUAGAAUAUUUUUUUCCUCAUCCCUAUUACUUAUAAUCUAGUGAGACAGUGGACAUGAGUAUUAAAGAAGAAAAAAAUAUUUUAAAGUCAGAUUCCUGAUCUAUAAAUUAGCAAACUUACAAUACAGCAGGAGCAAAGAGGCAUUGACUGAUACUUAAUUCACAGAACACUGAAAAUCAAUUUCUGCAUGGUUAGAAGUUGCUGUCAGAGCUGCAAAGAUCUUGCAAAGGUUACAGAGCCUUCCAGGGAGGUGGAUAUAAAACAAAGAGCUACAAGGAAAACUGAAGAACGUAUUUUAUUUAAAAGGCCAUUAUGGAGGAAAAAAACAUCUAAUCUUUCUUACUUCUAUAUAUACAAGUCAACAUGCAUCAAACUGCUAUUUAAAAUUGUUCCCAGCAUUAGUAAGUUUCAAUACUCAAAUAAAAUUGAAACGUUUUCAGUUUUUUUCAGCUGUAGACAUGAAGAGAUACAUGCAACGUUUCUAGGUAUCCAAGACCAACAAAAUGAUGUAGCUCCCAUUAUCUUGAAAUUUUGAAAGAGAAAAAAGGUAUUUGAGAAGUAUUUUUACAUCUUUGACAGCAUAAAUUUAGGGACAUGCUGUGCCCUGCUCCUGGUCACCAAUGGCAGGACAUAGGAGUGGCACAAAGCUGCACCAGGGGAGGUUCAGCCUGAGCAUGAGGAAAAAUUUCUUUAUUGUGAGGGUGGUUAAACACUGGAACAGCCUUCCUAUUGAGGUGGCUGGUGCCCCGUGGCUGUCAGCCUUCAAGAGGCAUUUAGAUAAUGCCCUCAUUAACAUUAGCUUUUGGUUAACCCUGAAGAGGUUAGGCAGUGGGACUGGAUGAUCUUGUAGGUCCCUUACAACUGAACUAUUUUAAUAAUUCAAUAGUUGGAAAUGAAUAUUCAUUUUCAGUUUCCAUUAACUGGCAGACACAGGGAUAUCCUGAAAAGUUCACAUUAACGCUGUAAGUCAGAGAUGAUAAUUCUAUGUCAAAGUUCAGACCAUUUGAAUGCAGUAAACUUUUUGUUAUUUCAGAAUUCCAGCUAGAGAUUCAUUGCUUAUUUUGCAAAAUAAUCCAUCUGAUGGUGGAUUUGUUGGUUUUCAUUUUCUCUAAGCAUGACUGAAAUAGAACUAUCAGAAGUGAUUUUGGUAAUAUUCUUUGAAGUACCAAUAGCCACACAGGAAAAAAGUGUUUUUAUUUUUUUCCAUCUGUUUUUAAUUGUUUAUUUUGUAAGGAGAAAUCUGUCUAUAAACAAAGCUCUGUUUUGCUAAGGGGUAAUAUUGUAUACAUCACUGCUCUUAAGAAGCCUUGCUGCAUUGUUACCAGAUGAUUCAUGCCUAUAACUUCAAAGGAUAUGAUGGUAUACCUUGUUGCUUUUGCAGCAUCCACCUUUUGAGCUCCUGCGUUUUCACAUUCGUUUGCAAUAACCAGCAAUACACAAAGCCAACAGCUUUCUUCCUAGAUGCUGUGCUAGAGUUAUUUGCAGGAUUUACAUUGCCUGUGUGGUGUCCUACUUCAGACAAUCCUUGGGAGCAGUAGAGAAACUGCUGCAUAAUUUUAGCAAAAACUAUAACCAUACGUACCAUUCAAAAAGUCUGUAACUACUGACAGAACAAAACGUACUCUCCUGAAGGUUUAUCUUUUAUGUAGUGCAUAACCAAGUAAUUUUUUACCAACAUCCUCAUGAUCCAUGCAAGGAUGCAAUUUAACAAAAUAAGAAUGAAUAAUUUAUGGUUCUACCUUUAAUUAUUAUUCCCAUGCCAAUCUCAUUAAUUAAUAAGUGUUAUCUGUCAGUCUCAAGAUAAUAUAGUCUAUAACAGAUAGCAUUUAGCCUGCAGUAAAUGUAAAAAAUGAAAUCUGUACUCGCUAACUGGCUGAACGUACUCAGCUAUCCUAGCUACAGCUUUGUAGGCAGGUCAGAGCAAUUCUGGAGAUGUAUUUUUAAAAUAACUUUUUCCAAUGAUGAUUUUAAUUGUGUUUGUCAAAAGAUCCUAAUAUUCCUUAAAAAAAGGUAACAUUUCCUGUCUUUUAGAGAUGUAUGCAUGUUAUUCAGUAUCAAACAGAUCGUAGUUGAUAUCAAUCAGCAUGUUCAUCUGGGUAAUGAAGUGGUCACUGACUGCAGUAGCCUUGAUGAAGCAUCUCAGAUGGACCUCUGCCUCAACAUCAUUAAUCCCCACUUUUUUGCUUCUUUAACCAGAUUGCCUGGUUCUUGUCAGGUUGCAGCAGUGGAGAGUGGGAGAGGAGUAGUCUUCCCCUUCAAACUGUCUUCUGAAAAUCCCCUGAUACACGCAUCUGCUCUUUGUCAUGAGCCCAAAGGGAGUUUGUCUCUUAUCCAGUUCCAGUGCCUGGUUUUCAAGUCCUUUGAUUUUUCAGUAGUUGAAUAAAAGACAGUAGAGGCUGUCCCAGGAGGCUAGAGUACUCUUUUAAAUCUACAAAGCUUUCCUCUCUACGAGAUAUUCACUAAACAUUUGUAGUAAAAUGUAUGAUUGAUCAUUUCUGCUUAUACAAUGAUUAAUUCACUUUUCCAGAUUUUCUUUUUAUAUGCCAGUUUUCUUUCCAUGAUUACAAUAUAAAGAAACAGGACUUUAGGGCAGAGUCUCAAAGUAGGAAGCCACAUCAAAGAUUUUUAUUAUAGCUACAGGUUUAGGAUAAUAAAAAGGGAAGAUAUUUUCUAAAGCUCUGCAGUUGAUUUUUGUUAAGGGACUAGGCUUCCUUAGGCUGACUUGCUCUGACUAUCACAGUGUGUGCCCUGCAAAAUUGUAAUUGUUUCUGUCUUCCCUUUCCGCAUGUUGCCAACAAAGGAAAAUGAAGGAUGAAGUAAGAUGAAGAUCCUUGAAAUAAAGAUGAGUACUUAAAAAAAAGAAAUGAGAGAGUAGUCAUUUUCCAGGCCACGCUGUAAUACAGAGCACUUUAGUUCAGUUAGUUGUGUGGAUAUAAACAUUUAUUAUUUAUUAUUUAUUAAUUGCAUGAAUUUAAAUAGGCAGGUAAGAAAAACUGGGUAGAGCUAUACAUAUCACUGCCAUCUAUGAGUUGAAAAUAGGUGUUAGGUUUUGACUUGUAAUAACUGCUGAGCAGCACAAAUUAGCUAGAAAUAUGAGGAAAAAUAAUAGUGUUGCAGCGUAUAAGCAACAAAUAUACAAAGUGAGGUAGUUAGGCUGGUAUCUACAUAGUAGAUUGUACAGUUAGAAAGAUUAUCACAUUGGAAAGGGAUAAUUGGAAAUAAAUGAUAACACUCACCUGUGUCCUAUGCUCACAGAGCAAACCAACCAACCAACCAACCAACCUCCACAAGGAGCUGUCUACAGAAAAAGAUCUUUCCUCAGUGGCAGUCAGCCCCUAAAUGGGGUCUAGGAGAGGUGGAACCAGGCUCCACCCCUUUCCGUCACACAGGUGAAUUGCCUUCACCUUUGCUCCUGCGGCUGACUCCGUGCUUGCCUCAGGUGGUCAAUCAGUGGUUCAGGCUGUGAUUCAACAGUUCACAUACAUGCAGGAACUAGCAAAAUGAAGAGAUUCUAAAUAGAUGCUUCAGUAGAGUGCAGUCAAUUUAAUAAGCAAUUGAAUGUAUUUAUUUUUGCUUCAUAUUACUUUUGUCGGUCAUUCAUUAAUCAUCAUUAGAUACAUGGGCUUUGCUUAUACUCUGAUGGAUUAACAGGUGUAACGUAGAAUUGCGCAAUCAUAGAAUGGCUUGGGUUGGAAGGUACAUCAAGGAUCAUCAAGCUCUGACCCCCCUGCCACAGGCAGGGCUGCUAACCACCGUAUCUAAUACUAGGCCAGGCUGCCCAGGGCCCCAUCCAACCUGGCCUUGGAUAUCUCCAGGGAUGGGGCAUCCACAACCCCUCUGGGCAGCCUGUGCCAGCGCCUCACCACUCUCUUAGCAAAUAAUGUGGUCUUUCUGGAAUUUCUCUCACUUUUAUCAUCAAAAAGUAAAACCUCAGGAUUUGGUGCAUUUGCAAGUUCACAAGAUACACCUUUUGGUGGCAAAAAUGAAGACUAUAACAUCCGUCUGCAUCCAGCCUCAUUCUUCGUUUUCUCUAUUUCAAAGUAAAAAUAAGCAUUUUCUUGAAGAGAUGAGAUAAUCAAAAUAAGUGAAUGCAGAACAUGCAAAACAAGAGAAAACACAUCCAAACUCACACCAUCCCUCUCAUUGUGAGCUAUACCUAAGCCAAAGUCUUUUAUAUUGAUUUUUUUCAGUUUUUUCUGGCUAGUCAAGAUAAAAAUAAGUAUUAGAAAGCCUGAGAUGCCGGUAAAUACUCUAGAAGUUUAAUUCUGUAUAUAGAAAAUCCAGCUCCUGAUCACUCUUUGAAAACUUCAUUUUCUUUCAGUGCUGAUAACACCACAGCAUGGCAGGAGCAGAUCCUUCUGACCAUCUCCCUCCCCACCUCCCUAAAUCCAGAUUAAGUGAAUGGAUGACAUGUCACUACAAGGCAGUGUGCUCCAAAUAGCAUGAAUUCCACGGUUCAGGACAAACCAACUUUUAAAUGUAACGAGUAUCUAUUUAAAAGUAAAAGGGAAUGCUUUUUUAACUUUGAGGCCAAUAGGUUAUUUGCAUUCAUUCACUGAGUUCCAUUUUUAUUCAAAAAAACAUUAGCUCUUCACUGAAGUGCAUUUUAAACAUAAGAAUUGAUGUCUCUUGGAGUAUGUAAUGGCCUAUAAUUUUCCUCCCACUUCAGCAUAAUGAAUGCAAUCAUUUAUUCUUUUGUGCAUUAUUUUGUAUGAAUUUCUUAAUUAUUGAAUUAUUAGACUUAUUAGUAAUGCAAAUAUUGUUUUUCUUCCUGAGAUUUGUGUUUUCACUUUAUUUCUAAAAGAAGUGCAUGAUGUGAAGAAGAUAGUGAAAACUGCACUUUUCCUUAGGCAAUUUGUAGUUUACUCGAGUUUGAUUGGUGUUAGUCAGUGCAUAUCUCCAGAAUUGUUGAAUCUCAUCCUAAAAUAGCCUAGGCUCACAUUAGCUAACAGUCUUAAACAGUCACAGUAUUUCUUGAAAUAUCUGGGAAAAGGAAGAAUGCUUUUAUACUAUUAAUGCUAAUAUAUUAGUUUUACUUAGAACAGUGAUGUAGAUCUAUCACGAUGUACUUAAAGCUACCUCUAUUUCUCCUGAAUAAAUAAGCAAAGCUAUAUGCACUAUAAAUAAUCCAGAAUACAGAAAUAAAUUGUGAUUAAGUGUUUAAUGACAUUACUUAAAGAAGCUGGAAAGCUGAAAAGCGUCAUACUUUGCAUCAAAAGUAUCUGAAAAUUAAAUAAUAAAAAAAUAGGUGACAAAAUAAACCUUUAUUGUGUUAUGUUCCCAAUUUUUGAACACCUUUUCCAGCUAUUCUUUUGAAGUUAUUUAUUUUCAAGUUUACUGAUAAAGAGAUGUAAUGCUCUGGGGAGCAUUUCACGAACUAAGUGGAAUUAAAUCUGGCCACUCAGGAAAGGAAAUCAGUCAUGAAACAAUAUUUCAGGAUGAUAGAAAGGAUCAUAGUCCACCCAGAAAAAAAUUCAAUAGAUUUAUUUGGGCAAGUACUGGAGAAUUGGAUUCAUAAGUUAUAAGGCAGGAUAAAUGUAUUUUAGGGUGAUAUGUUUUUGUAAUUUGGAGUCUUGAAGAAUAUCUGUUAAUGUGCUUACUUAUAAUGCAAUAUGGACUAUAUUAUUAUCAGCACCUUAUAAACAUCUUCUAAAACACUUUUCUUGCAACAGAAGUUACCUGCACUAUAGUAGUUGAUGAAAUAUACACAAUCCAAUGGAUUAAAAUGUCUCUAUUCAAAUAACUUUCCCACCUCUUUUCAGUAUUCUCGGGCCUGUUCCUAAGUUCAGCAAACACUUUCCUUCAUCAAGGAAGACUGAAAACUAUAUGUAAAAACUCUUGAGCCAUUGAACUCUUAGCAAUGAAUUAAAAUCACAUGAAUUGAAUUCUUUCCUGGGCAAGACAAUAACCACCAGUCUUUACUGGAUUGAUUGGCUCAUCCACUGUACUGUUAACACUGUGAAGCCCAUAGUCUUAUGGCUAGAUUUCCUUAAAUUAUAUUUCAGUUCUUUUUGACGUAGGAUGAAAAAUGAAAGGCAGAGUAUUCCCCUAUCCUCUAUUGCUCACAGCGUUCUGUAUAACCUUGAUUGUCAUUACAAAUACAAUGCAGAUUUUAAUAUCUUCAUUUUGUAAAAUAGAACUUCUAAAUAUGAUACAAAAAUGUAACAACCUGACCAGCACUUGCAAUCCUUGAAUCCUUUUGUAGAGCAGAUAAAAGUGUAAAUGUAAUGCUGUUUUCAGUCAAGAACUGCCUAGUCUGCUGGAGACGUUUAUGGAGCUCACACUGUCACAAGCUGUCCUUCAUCCUUUCAGGAGAAAGGAGAGCUCCUACACAGAUUGUCUGAAGGGCAUUUAAUUAAUUAAGAAAGUGAAAAAUGUGAAGAUUUCUCUAGCCUGUGAUGUUUCAUGUUGUAUAAUCUGGUUAUCCCUGAAUCAUGAAAUUUCGUCCACUCUUUUAAGAUACAAUAUUGGUACUUCAGUAAAAUUUGACUGUUCUUCAUUAAAAAUAAAAAUAAUUCCAAGUUUGUUUCAGUUAAUGGAAAUGAGUUCACACUUUUUAAGCUACAGUCCAAGAUCAAAGUUCAAGGAAAUGAAGGGAUGUCAAUCAUCCAUUCCCCUGCUGCUGCUUGCUUGCAACUUGUGUCAAUGAGACCUUUUAAAGUAACUUCUGUGUCUGGAAAAUGGCUGAUGGAUCCACAGACUAUCCUUACUGUAUAUACAUACCUUACAUUUAUCACAGAAAUUGUACAAGUGUUUUCUGCUCAUGGCAUGAAAAAAUAGGAACAUGGAGAGUAGUUCUUUAAUUGCAGUAAAACUUGUACUUGCUUAGUGGGCUUGGCUAUGCUGUGAAUUAGUUAUUUCUCUUCUGCAAAUUUCAAAUAAUUAAGAUACAUAAAAUACCCCUUAAAUAAUAUAAGGAUCUCAGCGUAAAUGUAUAUGUAAAUAUAUAUGAAGUUCAAACAACAUGCAUUCACAGCAAAUGACUUUGUUCAUCUUACCUUUACGAUGUGCAAGAUUUGUGGAGAGACUGCAGGAGUGGCUGAGGGAAAAGGACAUUUUUUCUGCAAACAAAUGAAGCAACAAACAAAUGAAGUUUAAUAAUGAAGCAGAAAUGAAUUUUGUAAAGGAAGCUGGAAACGUGGAGUGUGGACCUUGCAAAGCAAUUCUAGGAGACCAUGGGAUUGAAUUAACUCCAUGAGGCACUGGCUGGAGGGGACUUUGGCAGAAUCACUGGGGAAUUCCAUGUAAUUAAAGAAGAAAAGAUCUAUAACAUGUUUUGAAUGAACUUUUAACUGUGAUAUGUAAACUCUAAACUCUUUACCUCACCCUAGGGCUUGCCUCAUUUACAGAUUCAGUAAGGGCGCCCUCUGUUCUAUUGUUCAAAUUCUAAGUUCUUUGAUAGCUUGUGUACAUGUUUUCAGACAUGUUUUGUCUAAACUAUGGUUUUAGCUACACCACCAUUUCCUAACUCACCUUUACUAAAGCUGUCUAAAAUGUUGCUAGAUUCUAGCAAAAGGCAAAAUAAAUGACAUCCACUGCCCCUCCAAGACCACGCACAUGCCCAUGAGUUCUAUCAUAGAUGAAAACGAAGUUAAUGUGACCAGCUUUUACCUUGGCAGCCCAGCUUGGCGUUUGCUCACAUACUGCACACCUUUCAAGAGCUUUUUUAUUUCAGAGGCAUGGCUAAUCCAUUAUUUUUGGCAUCUCCUCAGUACUAUGUUCUGUUUUCAAGAGCUUAUGGCUCUUGAUUAUGCCCAUGUGGCUCCGGGCAGCCUGCUCACAGCACAGAGGUUGAAACUAGAUGAUCAUUAUGGUCCUUUUCCACCCAGGCCAUUCUAUGAUUCACUUUUCUCCUGGUUUUUGUUUUCAUUGAAAUAUCACUCAUUCUCUAUUUGCAAGUGCCCCAUGUUCACCAGAGUAAAUCCUUUAGACCUAGUGGACUGAAACCAUCUUCUUUGUAUUUUUUUACUUCCUCUUUUUGAAUUCUUAUUUAAACAUUUAUUCUUCUAUCACUGAUUUUAAUUGUCAUAAGCAACAUUAAUUAUUAGCUUUUUCUCCUAAAGGCUGACUGAAAUGAAUUUUAGAUCAGAUUGGCUGUUCAGAAGAGAACGUUUGUGGUUUUUUGUUUGUUUCUGUGUAUCAGUGACUCAGAACAGCUUAACUGCAAAUGUGAGAAAUUGCUGUGGAAGAGCAGCAUUUAUUGCAGGACACUAAAUGACUGCCCUCAAGUGGCAAAAUGAGAGCAGUACCACUCGCUAUAUUUCUGUACGUCUGUAUGUAGAAAAAAGCCCAAGGAUUUAAACUGAAAUAUUAUUCAGGGAUUGAUACCUCAGCUUCCUUUUUGAAAGUAAGGGGUAGGCCUGCAUUUCUGAACGGCUGGGUUCCAUGCAAAAGCUGAUGCUUCUCACAUAGGCAGUGUUUAUUUUCUUGAUAUGUUUUUUUUCUGUGCAAUUUUGGUUCCUUUGGUUUAUCAAGUUAAUUUUAAAAUUCUCAUUUACUUCAGCGAUUAAGAACUGUGCAAUCCUUCUAAUGUUGAUUAAGAAAGAAGUCUUAAGAAUAUUAAUGUUUGACUUUGGAUAUUCCUACAUUCUCUUUAUUGUCACUGGAAAUUUGGAGUGAGUAGCCAACAGUCAAUUUUUUUUUCUCAUUUUUUGCUAUAUCUUCUACAAUAACAAAGGCUUUAUACUACUGAAGAAAAAUAAUUUUCUCAUUGUAGCGGCACUUCAUGCUCUGUUCUUAGAACUUCAUUCAGGCAGGUUUGAAGCACUGAAAAGCAGGCAAACAAAAAAUGUACCCCGCUUUAUCUUCCUCAUCCUCUCGUUCUGGAGCUGCUGUGAUGCAAAGUCAAACUAUAAUCUAGCAUUAAUAGCAAAGUGAAUAGAAAAUUCAGGCAAGGCAUAUUGAAAAGCUGGAGUUUAUGCUGGUGAUGAGCAGCCUGUGCAGUUUGGUAAUUGUGGUAAUGACACAGUGCAUCCUUUGAGUGCAGAUAUAAAUAAAACAUACUGUUAGGGAACUUAACUUCUAAUUGCCUUUCUUUUUGUCAUUAGGAUUCAGGUGUGUUAUCUGUUUGAGGGGGGGAGGGAGGCUGGGAAGUGAAUCAAGUUUCCUAUCGUCAAUUCUUGCUUAUCUGCCUGGGGCCCUGGGCAGCCUGGUCUAGAAUUAAAUGUGCAGGUUGGUGGCCCUGCCUGUGGCAGGGGGGUUGGAGCCUGAUGAUCCUUGAGGUCCCUUUCAACCCAAGCCAUUCUAUGAUUCUGUGAUUAGGACGAGAACUUAAUAUUCUUCCUUUAAAGAAAGUAUGGAACUGAGGUAAUAUUAGGAAACUAUAACCCUAAUAUUAGAAAACUUUCUCUAAUGUGAACAAGUGAGCAAUAUUUUGACUUGAUAUAUAUACACGAGAUGCAUUUUUUCUCUUUCUUCUAUUCAGAUGUCAAGCUACAAUUUGCACUUGCAAAUAAUAUUUUCUAGUAACUAGAGUUUUCACUUAUAGUUCCAUAACCCAAGCAUACAUAUACUAUUCAGCUACUGAAAUUACUGUCACUGUCUUAUUUUUCUAGGACAAAGAUGGUUUUGUAUUGUUCCUUUCCGUUCCUCCUUUUGGAAGACUCGUGUUCCCUACUAGACCUUCAGCCACUUCUUGGUCUGGGGCUGCUCCUUCACCCUACCUAGAGGCCUAAGCUGCCUAAAGUUGUUUCACUUGUGGCGAUGGAAGGGGACAUGCCAUGGGGAGGUGAAGCAUGGCCUUAUACUUGUAGUAUCUCAACACAUUAGAUUUAGUACACGCUACACAAUGAUGUCUCUGCGUACUUGAUAUCUACAGACAUUCUAAGGCAGCUUUUAUCACUGAUUAGCAGCAUGCUUGAAAGAAAAUUAUACUGAUACAGGGAAGUGACUAUACACAGCCAGAAAAUGUAAAGUAGCUGAUGUAUGGCAAGUUACCUCCAGGAUCUUCCUAGUUAGCAAAUCAAAGGCAAUAACUGGAAUUUCAGUCCCUAAAAGACCAUUCAAGGUUUGUGUAAAAUUAGACAGGAGAUGUGAAAGUGGAUAGAAAAUUGAUUUAAGGUACCUUACACCACUGUGUACAAGCAAAUUGAUCUACAGUUAAUUUUAUCUUUUGAAGAUAGUAUAUUCUGCAUCCUAGAUAAAUCUACUUGGAUGCUAAAGAUCUAGUUAUAAAGAGGCAUGAAUGACAAAAAAUGGAAUUCAUAAUUUUUUGGAGACCUCUAAAAAUUAGUCAAACAGGCCUUCGUAAUGAGUAAUAUUAUUAUUAAUCACAUCAACAAGUAAUAUUAAUAGCUAUAUACUGAUUUGGACUGUAAAGCUUUGUCUUCUAUCUGAACAUCAAAAAAAUCUGAUAAUCCUCAUUUCCAUCCCUUACAAGGCAUGAAAUGUCCUCUUGAGAAGUCAGAUAGGCGUUGUCCAUUCCAGAUGAUGACAAGCAUAGUUUUGUGACAGAAAUUCUACGUAUGGGAAUGAAACAGAAGAAAUACAUUUUUUUUUCUGCCAUUCUGAAAUGAAAUAGAAAUUCUGAAAUGAAAUAGAAAGGGGGAAAUAAAAUGAAGGAAUGAGUCUUCAGAAUCUUAGAAUUAUUGAAGUAGUGUUGGUAGAGAUAGACUCAUUUGUAAGCCCCUACUGGGGAAAUUCAAUAUCAGUGAUGCAAGCAAUUUUUCCUAAUGCUAAUUAUUGCUUAGUUGUUUUGAGUGCUUGUACAUUUGUCUAUGUAUCAUUAUAAAAACUAGGAUGCUGUAAUGGUGAAAUGUAGGCUGUGGUCUGACUUGACUACAUGGGCUGUAAAAGUUAGGAUGAUCUAACCAUGAAGUAACAAUUCCCAAAGAGUCUUCUUUUAUUAUCAGAUCUUAAAAAGGAACAGAAAGUCAAAAUGAAGUGUAGUGAAUCUAACUGGCUUUCUCUAAAUUGUCUAGAGACAAUCAGUGUGCGUGAAAUUUGAUAUAUGUGGAAAAUGAUAUCUUUAUAAAGAAGUUGGAGAUGCAUUUAAAUGUCUGUAUCAUUUUCUUAAAACAGUGCGUUCAGAAACACACCGGGCCAAAUCCAUUUGCCUUUCUCUCAGGAGAAUUUCAAUUACAUUCAGUGAAACUAAGUGCAAAAAUAAACUGAACAAUCUGUGGCCUAAUAUAUCUUCCUACUGGCACCAAAAUGUAAACAGAAAAGCUUUUAGACUUUUUUUUAACUUGCAUUUCCUGACUUUGGACUUUCAACUUCAUUUCUGCAUGUCCAUGCUGAAUUAAUUACAGCCUAUUUCAUGAUAUAUCCUUGGAAAGAAAGAAUAUAAAACAUUAAUAAGCUUCUAACGUACCCAUGUGGGAAAGUACCUCUAUGUACACCACAAUGCAGCAUCAGUCUGCUGCAUCUAUUUCUGUAUGCUGGAUGAAAAAGAGUACUAUUUACUGAGUCACGAUGAGCAUACUCUGACAAACUUUCUUUCUUAAACUCAAAAAAACUGAUAAAGAUUAAUACAUUACAGAAAACGUCUUGCUGAAAAGUAAGCUGUAACCAUACAAAUUUCUGUGCAUUAUUCAGGAAUGUAAAUAAUAUGAUGUGUUGAAAUGAUGCAGUAAUCUCAAAUAAUGCUUCUUUUCUGAAACUCUAAAGAGUUGAAGGAAUUCAAGUAAACUUGAAAAAAAAAAACAACCCACAAAACAAGGCAAAAGCUCUGAUAGACUUUAUGACACCAAGCAGUGUGGUGAGGCCAACACUAUGCGGCCCAAGGAAUGGGAUGCCAUCUAGAGGGACCCAGACAGGCUCAAGCAGUAGGCCCAGGAGACCAUCAUGAGGCUGAACAAAUCCAAGUGCUAAGUCUUGCACCUGAGUUGUGGCAACCCACACUGUCAAUAUAAGGACACUGGAGGAUGUAAGGGUAAAGCAGAGCCCUGCCAAAAGGAUUUGGGGAUAUUUGGAUGGCAAGCUGGAUAUGAACUAGCAGUGUGUCCUUGCAGCCCAGAAAGCCAACCAUAUCCUGGGCUGCACCAAAAGAAGCAUAGUCAGCAGUGUGAGGGAGGUGAUCCUGCCCCUCUACCACCUGGGCCUGGUGAGGCCUUGCCUGGAGUACUGUGUCCAGAUGUGGAGUCCUCAGUACAGGAGUGACAUGGACCUGUUGGAGCAAGUCCAGAGGAGGGCCACAAAAAUGAUCCAAGGGAUGGAACACCUCUCCUAAAAGGACAGACAGAGAGAGUUGGAGCUGUUCAGCCUGGAGAAGGCUCCAGGGAGACCUGAGAGAGGCCUUAUAGUAUCGAAUGGGGGACUAUAAGACAGACUCUAUGAGGAUCUGUUGCGACAGGACAAGGGGAAAUGGUUUUAAACUGAAUGAGGGGAGAUUUAGGUUAGAUAUAAGGAAAAAGUUUUUUACAAUAGGGUUAGUGAAACACUAGAACAGAUUGCUUAGGGAGGUGGUGGGUGCCCCGCCCUUGGAGACAUUCAAGGUUAGGCAGCACCAACCUCUGUGCAACCUGAUCUAUCUGCAGAUGUCCCUCUUCAUUGCAUUGGAGUUGAACUAGAUGACCUCUAAAGGUUCCUUCCAACACAGACUAUUCUGUGAUUCCACAGGAGUAGAAGGGUACACAUGGAUUCUGUAUGGGAAUUGCUAGGUCACAGCCUGGCCAAUGGUGGAGCACCAGAGGAGAAGGUGUGGCUAACCCAGGGAGCACAGGCACCAACCCUGGGUUCACUCUUCCUCAGCUUCAUUUAAGAGUUAGCAAGCAGAGAGAGCAGUGUCUUUAUUUGGAGACUGUGCCCUUUUUGAGACUCCAUGAGCCUUUGGAAAGGGUGAACUACCUUUUUUUUUUUUUUUUGUGUCACUUUCUAAACUAAGUCUUGCUGUAUGCCUUUAUAAGCAUGUUCUUCCCCUAGUAGAAGACACUGUCAUCGCCCUCUAUUGCUACACAGAUU
This 28987-nucleotide long non-coding RNA is filed under the name Gallus gallus (chicken). Lineage: Eukaryota; Metazoa; Chordata; Aves; Galliformes; Phasianidae. The record is from RNAcentral.